Non-coding RNA from Cricetulus griseus (Chinese hamster), 2011 nucleotides. The record is from RefSeq and is a predicted model, not a curated record. NCBI's taxonomy places the organism in Eukaryota, Metazoa, Chordata, Mammalia, Rodentia, Cricetidae.
CCCGUCUUCCCUCCCCAUCCUCUCUCACCCCCCUGUGUCCCAAACUAUGGCACAAUAGCGUUCAGCUCCUCUGUCUAUUCUGUGUCCAGCAGGAGCCCGCAGUGAUUCAUUGCUCCAAUUAGGGGCUCUGCAGCCCGUGGCUCGGGCUGUCUGAAGGGUCUCCUUUGGGACCCACGAAACCCAUCAGCCGCUGCCGCUGAUCUUUAAGGAAAGGUCAAGCCGGACGCAUUAGAGCCAGCUAGUUUCUCCCAGGUCUAUCCUGCACACUGAAUAGCCAGGGCUGGCUCCAGACCUGGAUCCAAAGACCCAGACCCCAUUCUGCCAGCUGUGUAUACCUCAGAAAGAGGCAGACCUCUUAACUCUACAAACCUCAGUCUCCUGCUAUAUGCAAUGGGCACAUGCUCCCUUCACGGACUGGGAGAAGCAGAACCUAGGCAAAGCUGACAGGCCAAGCUCUCCAGAGACCAAUGCAAGAGGAUCUCAAUGUCAAGGCCAGUCUGGGCUACACGGUGAGACCCUGUCUCAAAGGAAAAGAGCUGAGGGACCCAUGCAAUGCCCCCCAAUGUGGAGUGCAGCAGUAGAGGUGUCUCUGCAUGCUGAGUAAGUGCUGAACACAAGCCUGGGCCUUGCAGGGGCCAGCUCCAGAAUCUCCACAGAGCCCAUGGCUGUGUCAUUGAGCCCCAGCUUUUAGAUGAGUAGACUGGGUUCAGAGUAAGGAGAAACCAGCCCAUAGGAACAGCAGAUUGAGUGGGAACACACACACACACACACACACACACACACACACACACACUCCAUAUAAAGCUGAUAGGAAUGAUUCACCCUAAGAUCAGCAUGGACCAGAGAUAGUCUCAGAAUCUCCUCUCUCUUCUUUCAUGCGUCCCCAACUAUGCAUCUAAUGAAAGCAAAGCUCUCAAAUGUUGGGGGAUGUCCUUCUGUAUAUACAAUUCUCUUAUUGGUUGAUGAAUAAAACACUGUUUGGCCAAUAGAGGCAGGAAGAUAGGCAGGACUAGGAAAUGAAGAGAAUUCUAGGAAAGGUAGGCAGAGAGACCACAAGAAGACGCCAUGUAGCCACUAAAGGAAAUAGAGGUCCGGGCAUUCUCUGGUAAGCCAAGACCACAUGGAAAUACUUAGAUUAAUAGAAAAGGGUUAAUAAUAAAGACAGAGCUAGCCAAUAAGAAGCUCUAGCCAUCAACCAACAGUUUUAUAAUUAAUAUAGCAUCUCUGUGUGUUCAUUUGGGGCUGAAGCAGUGGGAUCUGGCAGGACAAGAAAACUCCAGCAACACUCACAGGCUCUGGCCUGGACACAAAGCCAGCUGUGUGGUGCCAGAUGCUUGAACACCAAGAUCCCUUAGUAUCUACUUCAUGUUGCAAAGCCAUCCCAGCCCCCAGCCUGGCCAUUCACAUGUUUGAAGCUCAAACUGGAUUGAGCCAUCCAUUUACACAUGCCUGCCAAGAGUCACAGCAUCUAGACUCAGAGUACCGAGCAGAGUCAUCCUCCUGCCUGCGGCUGUGGAGGGGCCAUGUUCCUUCCAUACCCAUCACUAUUUAAGGCAUGGGCAACACUGCAGCUCCCAGCAACCCUGGCUCAGGGCAGGGACGGCACAGCCCACAGGUUCUGUGGAGACAUGCAGGGCAUCUGGGCAUGGCUCACAUUUUUGCUGCCUGUGGGGCAUCCCCAGCCUUCCCCUAGUUGUCUUCAGCUCUCAGCACCAAACAUACUGUGUCUGUUUCUGGCUGUGUCUCCCCAGGGGCUGACCCCCAACUAGCCUGCCUUGUACUGCCCUAGGUUCAAGGGCUCAAUCAAUGUUGGGACCAGGGACACAGAACUCCAAACCUCACGUGCCUUCUGUUCUAGAAUUAUCAGGCCAUCUGGCAGGAUGGUACCUUCUGUAAUCCCAGCACCCUGGAGAUGGAUGGGAAGUUCAAGGCCAGCCUGGGCUAUAGAGUAAAAUCCUUUCUCAAAAAAUAAAACCUUGGCUGGAGGCAGGCAAGAUCAAAAUGCAUUUUA